Molecule: ribosomal RNA, 497 nt
Filed under: uncultured bacterium
Lineage: Bacteria
Description: partial 16S ribosomal RNA
Rfam family: Bacterial small subunit ribosomal RNA
Source: RNAcentral
GAUGAACGCUGGCGGCGUGCCUAAUACAUGCAAGUCGAGCGAACAGACGAGGAGCUUGCUCCUCUGACGUUAGCGGCGGACGGGUGAGUAACACGUGGAUAACCUACCUAUAAGACUGGGAUAACUUCGGGAAACCGGAGCUAAUACCGGAUAAUCUAUUGAACCGCAUGGUUCAAUAGUGAAAGACGGUUUUGCUGUCACUUAUAGAUGGAUCCGCGCCGCAUUAGCUAGUUGGUAAGGUAACGGCUUACCAAGGCAACGAUGCGUAGCCGACCUGAGAGGGUGAUCGGCCACACUGGAACUGAGACACGGUCCAGACUCCUACGGGAGGCAGCAGUAGGGAAUAUUCCGCAAUGGGCGAAAGCCUGACGAAGCAACGCCGCGUGGGUGAUGAAGGGCUUCGGAUUGUAAAGUUCUGUUAGCAGGGAAGAACAAAUGUGUAUGUAUCUAUGCACUCCUUGACGGUACCUGAUCAAGAAGCAACGGCUAACUCCGGG